Molecule: long non-coding RNA, 342 nt
Filed under: Anser brachyrhynchus (Pink-footed goose)
Lineage: Eukaryota; Metazoa; Chordata; Aves; Anseriformes; Anatidae
Description: lncRNA (ENSABRG00000002818.1)
Source: RNAcentral
AUGAGGGGAAGAUGGUUACUACUUGUGAAAUGGGUGAAUAUCAGACAGCUCAUUAUAGAGACAAGAAUGCUGCAUUCCCAAAGUAGGAUGACAGAACAAGUCAUGAUCUUGUACAGAAGGAAAAUGAAAUCCCUGGUGAAGCCUACAGUGUCAUCGACUCUGAAGAAGGACUCAGAGACCCAUUGGUGUUUAAUGACCCUUAUUGGCCUGCACGAACGAAACUGACUAUUUAACUUCCAUGGAGCUGCAGAACUCAUGCUAUCUACAAGGCUAGCAGAACAAAAAACUGACCCUGCUUCAAAGAGCUUGUGGUAGAGUAAAAUAAACCGUUGAAUAUUUUCA